RNAcentral lists this ribosomal RNA (439 nucleotides) under uncultured bacterium. RNAcentral describes it as "partial 16S ribosomal RNA". It matches the Rfam family "Bacterial small subunit ribosomal RNA", at positions 339 to 795 of the family's 1533-position model. The record is from RNAcentral.
CUACGGGAUGCUCCAGUGGGGAAUCUUGGACAAUGGGCGCAAGCCUGAUCCAGCCAUGCCGCGUGAGUGAAGAAGGCCUUAGGGUCGUAAAGCUCUUUCGCCAGAGAUGAUAAUGACAGUAUCUGGUAAAGAAACCCCGGCUAACUCCGUGCCAGCAGCCGCGGUAAUACGGAGGGGGUUAGCGUUGUUCGGAAUUACUGGGCGUAAAGCGCGCGUAGGCGGAUUAGUCAGUCAGAGGUGAAAUCCCCGGGCUCAACCCUGGAACUGCCUUUGAUACUGCUAGUCUUGAGUUCGAGAGAGGUGAGUGGAAUUCCGAGUGUAGAGGUGAAAUUCGUAGAUAUUCGGAGGAACACCAGUGGCGAAGGCGGCUCACUGGCUCGAUACUGACGCUGGGGUGCGAAAGUGUGGGGAGCAAACAGGAUUAGAUACCCCAGUAGUC